AGAGUUUGAUCCUGGCUCAGAACGAACGCUGGCGGCGUGCCUAACACAUGCAAGUCGAACGUGAUUGGAAGCUUGCUUCCAUGAAAGUGGCGCACGGGUGAGUAACGCGUAGAUAAUCUACCUGAUGAUCCGGGAUAACACUUCGAAAGGGGUGCUAAUACCUGAUAAGCCCACGGGGUCUUCGGACUCUGCGGGAAAAGGGGGGGACCUUUUAGGCCUUCCGUCAUCAGAUGAGUCUGCGUACCAUUAGCUUGUUGGUGGGGUAACGGCCUACCAAGGCAACGAUGGGUAGCUGGUCUGAGAGGACGAUCAGCCACACUGGAACUGAGACACGGUCCAGACUCCUACGGGAGGCAGCAGUGGGGAAUAUUGCACAAUGGGCGCAAGCCUGAUGCAGCAACGCCGCGUGAGUGAAGAAGGCUUUCGGGUCGUAAAGCUCUGUCCUAGGGGAAGAAUAAAUGACGGUACCCUGGGAGGAAGCCCCGGCUAACUACGUGCCAGCAGCCGCGGUAAUACGUAGGGGGCAAGCGUUAUCCGGAAUCACUGGGCGUAAAGGGUGCGUAGGUGGUUCGACAAGUCAGAAGUGAAAGGCUACGGCUUAACCGUGGUAAGCUUUUGAAACUGUUGAACUUGAGUGCAGGAGAGGUAAGUGGAAUUCCUAGUGUAGCGGUGAAAUGCGUAGAUAUUAGGAGGAACACCAGUGGCGAAGGCGACUUACUGGACUGUAACUGACACUGAGGCACGAAAGCGUGGGGAGCAAACAGGAUUAGAUACCCUGGUAGUCC
RNAcentral lists this ribosomal RNA (785 nucleotides) under uncultured bacterium. RNAcentral describes it as "bacterial SSU rRNA". It matches the Rfam family "Bacterial small subunit ribosomal RNA", at positions 8 to 796 of the family's 1533-position model. The record is from RNAcentral.